UGAGGAAUAUUGGUCAAUGGGCGCAAGCCGGAACCAGCCAUCCCGCGUGAAGGAAGAAGGCCCUACGGGUUGUAAACUUCUUUUCUGUUUGAAGAAUAAGCUUGUCGAGACAAGUGAUGCCGGUAGGACAGGAAUAAGCAUCGGCUAACUCCGUGCCAGCAGCCGCGGUAAUACGGAGGAUGCAAGCGUUAUCCGGAUUUAUUGGGUUUAAAGGGUGCGCAGGUGGUUGAAUAAGUCAGUGGUGAAAGUCUGGCGCUUAACGUUAGGAGUGCCAUUGAUACUGUUUGACUUGAAUAUAGAUGAGGUAGGCAGAAUGUGUAGUGUAGCAGUGAAAUGCUUAGAUAUUACACAGAACACCGAUUGCGAAGGCAGCUUACUAAUCCAUUAUUGACGCUGAGGCACGAAAGCGUGGGG
This 414-nucleotide ribosomal RNA is filed under the name uncultured bacterium. Its description in RNAcentral is "bacterial SSU rRNA". It matches the Rfam family "Bacterial small subunit ribosomal RNA", at positions 355 to 766 of the family's 1533-position model. The record is from RNAcentral.